GACGAACGCUGGCGGCGUGCCUAACACAUGCAAGUCGAACGGAACUGUUUUGACAGAUUUCUUCGGAAUGAAUUUGAUUUAGUUUAGUGGCGGACGGGUGAGUAACGCGUGAGUAACCUGCCUUCAAGAGGGGAAUAACAUUCUGAAAAGAAUGCUAAUACCGCAUGACAUAUCGGAACCACAUGGUUUUGAUAUCAAAGAUUUUAUCGCUUGAAGAUGGACUCGCGUCCGAUUAGUUAGUUGGUGAGGUAACGGCUCACCAAGACCGCGAUCGGUAGCCGGACUGAGAGGUUGAACGGCCACAUUGGGACUGAGACACGGCCCAGACUCCUACGGGAGGCAGCAGUGGGGGAUAUUGCGCAAUGGGGGCAACCCUGACGCAGCAACGCCGCGUGAAGGAUGAAGGUUUUCGGAUUGUAAACUUCUUUUAUUAAGGACGAAAAAUGACGGUACUUAAUGAAUAAGCUCCGGCUAACUACGUG
Molecule: ribosomal RNA, 482 nt
Filed under: uncultured bacterium
Lineage: Bacteria
Description: partial 16S ribosomal RNA
Rfam family: Bacterial small subunit ribosomal RNA
Source: RNAcentral